This 134-nucleotide small nucleolar RNA is filed under the name Tupaia belangeri (northern tree shrew). Its description in RNAcentral is "Small nucleolar RNA SNORA31 (ENSTBEG00000020605.1)". The record is from RNAcentral. Lineage: Eukaryota; Metazoa; Chordata; Mammalia; Scandentia; Tupaiidae.
ACGCAUCUAUUGGACAGACCUGGGGCAGCUGCUGUCUGCUGCUAAGGUUUCUACUCCAGACGAAGAAGAGAGUGUCCUUGUGCUUUCUGUCUGUCUGACUGGGGCAGCCCAGAUUUGAAGAGAGGAAUACGGAG